Gasterosteus aculeatus aculeatus (three-spined stickleback) is the source of this 2874-nucleotide long non-coding RNA. Lineage: Eukaryota; Metazoa; Chordata; Actinopteri; Perciformes; Gasterosteidae. The record is from Ensembl.
UGUGAUGUCACCGUAAUCUGAUCUGAACAAGGUUCCACUUGUCACUCAUAACUUCACUGGACUUCGUGAGAGCUGCAUGCUUUCUCGUCUCAGUCCUCUAUCAGUUCAUAACCUUUGAUCACUGACAAUACAACGUUUUUAAGUUGCAUCGUGUAUUUUAACCAGCAUUUAAAUCAAACAGGAGAAAUGGCUGAAGGACAUUCAACGAAUCUGCCGUUUUCAAACCAAGGACCAGAAGAGUCAUCUGAACAGGUCAACGCUGAAUAUAUGAGCCUGAGGGAAAUCAGCGAAGUUCUUAAGUCUAUGCGAAUGAAAAUUCACAUGAGCGGAAUAAAGGUUGCAGGAUGGGAAUCUUUGAAGGUUAAAAAUGAUAAGUUUGCCGAUCACAGGAAGGAGGAAGGCAUUGCUAGGAGAAAAUGUGAAAUCCUUCAAAAGGAGGUGAGGAGUCUCCUUAAUAAGGUCAAAAAUCAUCAACAUUUUGACUCAAUCUACAGAGACCAACAAGCAUUAAACAAAGAAACGUUGUUGAAACAUCAAACGCUACAAGUGGAGCUGAACAUGCAGCAGAGAAAGCUGGACCACUUAAAACGUGUGGAGUCUGACGCUGCAUCCAUUACAAAGGAGAACGAAGAGUAUGACCAAAAAAUUAAGCUCCUGGAGACCGCACUGCAAAAGGUAACCUAUGAAUGUGACAUUUUAUCUGAGGCCAGUAAACGAGGUGCCCAACAGCUUGAUGAGAUGAAGUCUUUGGUGAAGAACUUGGAAUCCAAAACCGCUUCGACUAACUUGGAUUACAAACGUCUGCAAUUCGAGAAUAAGGAAUUGGUUGCAGAGACACAGGAGUUAGAAAAACAGGUUUUGGCUCAGCGGGAAGAAAAACGCCAAAUAAACCUGAAACUUGUAAACCAACGCCAUCAAAAUGAGGACGCAAUGCACCGUAAGGACGCUUUGGAGAGAACAACCAAUGAUUUAAAACAGCAAAUCCAGGACCUCAACGAAGAGCUCACGUCCAGAGAAUCUUUGGCAGCGCAACUGAACGUCCAGGAGACUGUUCUGGAGACGCAGCAGCGACAGCUAAUUAAGGCCCACACGGAGGCCACCAACAAGCUACUCAGUGAAAAAGAAUGGAAGUCUGGCUAUGACGCACAGAGGGAACUAAAAGACACCUUGGAGCUGAAGAACAAUGAGUGGAAAGAGAAUAUCCUCAGUCUAAUGAACAGUCUCAAAGAUCUUGACGCCUGUAAGGCAAACUACAAAUCAAUGAAGACAGAUAUAAAAGUUGCAACCAGACUGAAUAAAACUCUCGAAAAGCAACACAAGACCCUGGAAAACAAGUUCUCAAAAGAGCAGAAGUAUGAGGAAAAAAACAACGCAAUAAAGUCCGAGAGCGAAACCCUGAUGGGUGAAAACUGCACUCUGCAGCGGCAGGUUGAGGAACUGCAGAGCAGCCUUCAGGGAACGCAUGUUUUGACUUGUAUCUACAACUCCCUGGUAUCGGUUAAAAACGCCAACAAGCUACUGAACGACGACCUUCUGAGAGAACUUCAACAGCUCCACGAAGAGGCCGCUAAAGAAGCACCUCUGAAAGAGUGCAACGAGGCAAUAAGGGCAGAGAACGAGAUCGAUAACAGACAAUUGGAUGUUCUCGAGGAGCAAGUGUCCUCCGUCGCAUGUAGAACGGGUGCACCGGAAAAGGCCUUGGUGGUUUGAACCCUCGCCGGCUGGUCCCGAACAAGACACCUAAUCACCCUUAGGCAUCCCAUUGAAGUAACAGCUAUGGUUUUCUUCCGGGUUUUCCUUAAAAAUGACCGUACAUGGGUGUCUACUGUGCUAAUGUAGCAUAAUUUGCCACAGCAAAAGCACUGUCUGAAAUAAUUACACUCCUGGCAAAAGGCGCCUAAUUAGAUUUGGACCGUAGCGUCCACACCCAACAAAAUGUCGCGCCAAGUUUUCUUGAAAACUCGACAGCCCCGAUAUGAAGAUUGAAAGAAUAUUGAACUACGAGCGUGGCGCAGCGGCAAAAAACACUAUUCGCCCGAAAAAAUUGAAGUUGUUUUAACUAGGCCAUACAUUUUGUUAUCUGCUCCACAUGUCACCAGAGCCAGAGUAACACUUCUGAUUGGAGAGACGGAUUGCAGCACUCCCGCCACGCAUCCAAUUCCUCAUGCGGUCCCCCCCCCCCCCCCCCCCCCCACCACCACCCCACCCACGUAGCGUCCGCGGCGUCCACCCCCUUUUAUUUACUUUUAUGUACAACACCUAAAUAUAAUUGAACAACAAAACACCGGUAAAACAAUGGUGAAAAACUAGUAGGGCACUCCCCGUACCCCUCCCCCUUGACCGGAGCGUCCCCCACAGUCGACCGGAGCGCCCUCCCCCCAGUUGACCAUAGCGUCCGCGUACCCCUCCCCCUUGACCGGAGCGUCCCCCCCAGUCGACCGGAGCGCCCUCCCCCCAGUUGACCAUAGCGUCCGCGUACCCCUCCCCCUUGACCGGCGCGCACCCCCCAGUCGACCGGAACGCUCCCCGCCCCGGUCGACCGUAGCGUCCGCGUCCCCCCCUGUACCCCCUCCCCCUUGACCGGAGCGCCCCCCCCCCAGUCGACCGGAGCGUCCGCGUCCCCCCUGUACCCCCUCCCCCUUGACCGGAGCGCCCCCCCCCCCAGUCGACCGGAGCGUCCGCGUCCCCCCUGUACCCCCUCCCCCUUGACCGGAGCGCCCCCCCCCCCUAGUCGACCGGAGCGCCCCCCGCCCCAGUCGACCGGAGCGUCCGCGUCCCCCCUGUACCCCCUCCCCCUUGACCGGAGCGCCCCCCCCCCCCCUAGUCGACCGGAGCGCCCCCCGCCCCAGUCGACCGGAGCGUCCGCGUCCCCCC